This is a long non-coding RNA of Chinchilla lanigera (long-tailed chinchilla), 1421 nucleotides long. RefSeq lists it as uncharacterized. The record is from RefSeq and is a predicted model, not a curated record. NCBI's taxonomy places the organism in Eukaryota, Metazoa, Chordata, Mammalia, Rodentia, Chinchillidae. The transcript is spliced from 6 exons.
GUGGCCCGGGAGCCGUGGGCAAGGGGCUAAGGGGAGGGGGUCCGAUGCCAGUUGCUUAAAAAUGCCCCAGUGGCAGUAAAGGGGGCCAGAGGCCGGGUCAAGUUAAUUGCGAAGCAGUGACACCCCCAACCAUUCCCCACACAGGCUGGCCCCCCAUCGUCAGGCCCAAGGAGCCACACCUGGACCGGACUCCAGGCGAGCUAUGAACUCCCAGAGAGAUGAAAACCUGUGCAACCUUGUGAGAUCACCCCGUGAGAGGAGCUGAGAUAAGAGCGGGAAGGGCGCUGGCUGGUGUGGGACAUGCAGAAGCCCAGAGAAGGAACCUCUCAAGGGCCAGAGGGAGCAGGUGGCGGGCAGUCCUGGCAGCAGAACUGGAUCGAGCGCUUCUAUCCAGAGGAGCCCUGACGUCAGACAGCCCCCAGUCCUGUCCCGCUCCCUCUCCGACUGGAUCCCUGCGGUUGAAUGACUGAGAGCUCCACACCCGCUCCCCUUCUGCAAAAUGGGAAUACGAAAGCUCCCGCCUCACAUGGCCGUCAGGAUCCAUCGUUACUGUCUACACCCUCAUUGGGCAGAUGCCUCCUCUUCUCCCGCCCCUCCAGAGCUUCCAGACAGAAGACGAAGGAUCCCCGGCAGGCCGGCUGGCGACAUUUCCUGAAGACAUGGGGAGAGGGAGGGAAAUGGCUGUCCCCCUGGGAUCAGCCACCCAGCCUGCCCAAAGCCCUCACUGAGCCUCUAGGUAAAAUGUCCACCUGGUUCAGCCUCCUCCUUUCAUAGAAGGAGAAGCCCAACGCCCUGGAGGAAAGUGACCUGCUGACAAACAGCCGAGCCAGCUGGUGACAGAACCCAGGCCUCCCAACCGACCACCUAGCUCAGGUCCUGACUGGCACCCUGGGGUGUGAAGGAGCCGCAGUGGGAAAGUUCCUUACCCCGGAGCCUUAAGGAGCCACAGGGAUCUUCUAGGACCAAGGAAUGGAACCUGCAACUUCUAGCCAGGGGUGGGAGAGACACAUAGCCACAGAGGAGCUGCAGCUUUGUCCAGUGUCACCCUCUCUGCCUCUGCCGCCCUUGUCUGCACACAGGAGUCAGCUGCCUGCUCUCCGCGCAGCCCUUCGCCCUGGGUGUGUUAGAAAUGCCCUCCGCGGUCCCGCGGCGCCGCAGCCUCUCCCGCGCCUGGUCUGGCCGGAUGACCGCCUCCGCCCUCGCCGCCCUUGCCGCCCUGGCCGACUGCUGGGAUUUGAAGGCGCUGGGCACUGUUUCUCAAACCCACCCAUGUAGAUGCCUCCGCUUAAAUUUUUGCACCUAGUCAUAGUAUUUUUAAAUGGAAGGUGAGUCCUUUGAGUACCUAAAUAGAAACAGUUACUGUAAAAUGGAAAGGAUAGCACUGUCCAAAGGUAAAAAUAAAUGUAGUGAAAAUGAAACAA